UACGUAGGGGGCUAGCGUUGUCCGGAUUUAUUGGGCGUAAAGAGCGUGUAGGCGGCCAGGUAGGUCUGCUGUGAAAACUCGAGGCUCAACCUCGAGACGUCGGCGGAAACCAUCUGGCUAGAGUCCGGAAGAGGAGAGUGGAAUUCCUGGUGUAGCGGUGAAAUGCGUAGAUAUCUGGAGGAAUACCGGUGGCGAAGGCGGCAUCCUGGACCGACAUUGACGCUGAACGGCGAAAGCUAGGGGAGCAAACGGG
This 253-nucleotide ribosomal RNA is filed under the name uncultured bacterium. Its description in RNAcentral is "partial 16S ribosomal RNA". It matches the Rfam family "Bacterial small subunit ribosomal RNA", at positions 524 to 776 of the family's 1533-position model. The record is from RNAcentral.